AGUUGUGACCAUACUGGCUUGUCAAAGUGUGAUCUUGUCAGAUCUUUGAAGCUAAUCAAGGCCAGGUCUGGUUAGUACUUGGAUGAGAGAAUAUCAGGUGCCACAGUGG
RNAcentral lists this ribosomal RNA (109 nucleotides) under Periophthalmus magnuspinnatus. Lineage: Eukaryota; Metazoa; Chordata; Actinopteri; Gobiiformes; Gobiidae. The record is from RNAcentral.